RNAcentral lists this ribosomal RNA (253 nucleotides) under uncultured bacterium. RNAcentral's name for it is "partial 16S ribosomal RNA". It matches the Rfam family "Bacterial small subunit ribosomal RNA", at positions 524 to 776 of the family's 1533-position model. The record is from RNAcentral.
UACGUAGGGUGCGAGCGUUAAUCGGAAUUACUGGGCGUAAAGGGUGCGCAGGCGGUUCUGCAAGUCAGGCGUGAAAGCCCCGGGCUUAACCUGGGAAUGGCGCUUGAAACUACAGGACUGGAGUAUGGCAGAGGGAGGUGGAAUUCCACGUGUAGCGGUGAAAUGCGUAGAGAUGUGGAGGAACACCGAUGGCGAAGGCAGCCUUCUGGGCCAAUACUGACGCUCAUGCACGAAAGCGUGGGGAGCAAACAGG